Molecule: unclassified non-coding RNA, 240 nt
Filed under: soil metagenome
Description: partial contains 5.8S ribosomal RNA, internal transcribed spacer 2, and large subunit ribosomal RNA
Source: RNAcentral
AACAUCGCGCACCUGCGGGAACCUGCGGAAGGAUCAUUACACAAUAAAAUAUGAAGGCUGUACGCGGCUGUGCUCUCGGGCCAGUUUUGCGGAGGCUGAAUUAUUUAUUACCCUUGUCUUUUGCGCACUUGUUGUUUCCUGGGCGGGUUCGCCCGCCACCAGGACCACAUCAUAAACCUUUUUUAUGCAGUUGCAAUCAGCGUCAGUAUAACAAAUGUAAAUCAUUUACAACUUUUAACA